RNAcentral lists this ribosomal RNA (465 nucleotides) under Vreelandella stevensii. Its description in RNAcentral is "partial 16S ribosomal RNA". It matches the Rfam family "Bacterial small subunit ribosomal RNA", at positions 338 to 795 of the family's 1533-position model. Lineage: Bacteria; Pseudomonadati; Pseudomonadota; Gammaproteobacteria; Oceanospirillales; Halomonadaceae. The record is from RNAcentral.
CCUACGGGAGGCUGCAGUGGGGAAUAUUGGACAAUGGGCGAAAGCCUGAUCCAGCCAUGCCGCGUGUGUGAAGAAGGCCUUCGGGUUGUAAAGCACUUUCAGUGGGGAAGAAAGCCUUGGGGCUAAUACCCUCGAGGAAGGACAUCACCCACAGAAGAAGCACCGGCUAACUCCGUGCCAGCAGCCGCGGUAAUACGGAGGGUGCGAGCGUUAAUCGGAAUUACUGGGCGUAAAGCGCGCGUAGGCGGUCUGAUAAGUCGGUUGUGAAAGCCCCGGGCUCAACCUGGGAACGGCAUCCGGAACUGUCAGGCUAGAGUGCAGGAGAGGAAGGUAGAAUUCCCGGUGUAGCGGUGAAAUGCGUAGAGAUCGGGAGGAAUACCAGUGGCGAAGGCGGCCUUCUGGACUGACACUGACGCUGAGGUGCGAAAGCGUGGGUAGCAAACAGGAUUAGAUACCCUUGUAGUC